AUUGAACGCUGGCGGCAGGCUUAACACAUGCAAGUCGAGCGGGGAAGUAUAGCUUGCUAUACGACCUAGCGGCGGACGGGUGAGUAAUGCUUAGGAAUCUGCCUAUUAGUGGGGGACAACAUUCCGAAAGGAAUGCUAAUACCGCAUACGCCCUACGGGGGAAAGCAGGGGAUCUUCGGACCUUGCGCUAAUAGAUGAGCCUAAGUCAGAUUAGCUAGUUGGUGGGGUAAAGGCCUACCAAGGCGACGAUCUGUAGCGGGUCUGAGAGGAUGAUCCGCCACACUGGGACUGAGACACGGCCCAGACUCCUACGGGAGGCAGCAGUGGGGAAUAUUGGACAAUGGGCGAAAGCCUGAUCCAGCCAUGCCGCGUGUGUGAAGAAGGCCUUUUGGUUGUAAAGCACUUUAAGCGAGGAGGAGGCUACUUGGAUUAAUACUCUAGGAUAGUGGACGUUACUCGCAGAAUAAGCACCGGCUAACUCUGUGCCAGCAGCCGCGGUAAUACAGAGGGUGCGAGCGUUAAUCGGAUUUACUGGGCGUAAAGCGUGCGUAGGCGGCUUUUUAAGUCGGAUGUGAAAUCCCUGAGCUUAACUUAGGAAUUGCAUUCGAUACUGGGAAGCUAGAGUAUGGGAGAGGAUGGUAGAAUUCCAGGUGUAGCGGUGAAAUGCGUAGAGAUCUGGAGGAAUACCGAUGGCGAAGGCAGCCAUCUGGCCUAAUACUGACGCUGAGGUACGAAAGCAUGGGGAGCAAACAGG
This 754-nucleotide ribosomal RNA is filed under the name uncultured Acinetobacter sp. RNAcentral describes it as "bacterial SSU rRNA". It matches the Rfam family "Bacterial small subunit ribosomal RNA", at positions 28 to 776 of the family's 1533-position model. Lineage: Bacteria; Pseudomonadati; Pseudomonadota; Gammaproteobacteria; Moraxellales; Moraxellaceae. The record is from RNAcentral.